UACAGAGGUCCCAAGCGUUGUUCGGAUUCACUGGGCGUAAAGGGUGCGUAGGUGGCUGGGUAAGUCUGACGUGAAAUCUCCGAGCCUAACUCGGAAACUGCAUCGGAUACUAUCCGGCUUGAGGGUUGGAGGGGGGACUGGAAUACUUGGUGUAGCAGUGAAAUGCGUAGAUAUCAAGUGGAACACCAGUGGCGAAGGCGAGUCCCUGGACAACUCCUGACACUGAGGCACGAAAGCUAGGGGAGCAAACAGG
This 253-nucleotide ribosomal RNA is filed under the name uncultured bacterium. RNAcentral's name for it is "partial 16S ribosomal RNA". It matches the Rfam family "Bacterial small subunit ribosomal RNA", at positions 524 to 776 of the family's 1533-position model. The record is from RNAcentral.